AGGCACGUAGCUCAGCGGUAGAGUACCACCUUGACAUGGUGGGGGUCGUUGGUUCGAUACCAAUCGUGCCUA
This 72-nucleotide transfer RNA is filed under the name Coxiella endosymbiont of Dermacentor silvarum. Its description in RNAcentral is "tRNA-Val". It matches the Rfam family "tRNA". Rfam says of the family: Transfer RNA (tRNA) molecules are approximately 80 nucleotides in length. Their secondary structure includes four short double-helical elements and three loops (D, anti-codon, and T loops). The record is from RNAcentral. RNAcentral also lists the same sequence under 1 other name. Lineage: Bacteria; Pseudomonadati; Pseudomonadota; Gammaproteobacteria; Legionellales; Coxiellaceae.